RNAcentral lists this non-coding RNA (148 nucleotides) under Homo sapiens (human). Lineage: Eukaryota; Metazoa; Chordata; Mammalia; Primates; Hominidae. The record is from Rfam by way of RNAcentral.
GCUGGGCAUGGUGGUGCAUGCCUAUAAUCCCAGUUACUUGGGAGGCUGAGACAGGAGAAUUGCUUGAACCCAGGAGGCGGAGGUUGCAGUGAGCCGAGAUGGAGCCACUGCACUCCAGCCUGGGUGACAGAGUGAGACUCUAUCUCAA